This 301-nucleotide ribosomal RNA is filed under the name uncultured bacterium. Its description in RNAcentral is "partial 16S ribosomal RNA". It matches the Rfam family "Bacterial small subunit ribosomal RNA", at positions 509 to 807 of the family's 1533-position model. The record is from RNAcentral.
CAGUAGCCACGGGAAUACGGAGGGUGCAAGCGUUAAUCAGAAUUACUGGGCGUAAAGCGCACGCAGGCGGUUUGUUAAGUCAGAUGUGAAAUCCCCGAGCUUAACUUGGGAACUGCAUUUGAAACUGGCAAGCUAGAGUCUUGUAGAGGGGGGUAGAAUUCCAGGUGUAGCGGUGAAAUGCGUAGAGAUCUGGAGGAAUACCGGUGGCGAAGGCGGCCCCCUGGACAAAGACUGACGCUCAGGUGCGAAAGCGUGGGGAGCAAACAGGAUUAGAUACCCGCGUAGUCCCUGUCUCUUAUAC